Cellulomonas sp. Leaf395 is the source of this 73-nucleotide transfer RNA. It matches the Rfam family "tRNA". Rfam says of the family: Transfer RNA (tRNA) molecules are approximately 80 nucleotides in length. Their secondary structure includes four short double-helical elements and three loops (D, anti-codon, and T loops). Further hydrogen bonds mediate the characteristic L-shaped molecular structure. tRNAs have two regions of fundamental functional importance: the anti-codon, which is responsible for specific mRNA codon recognition, and the 3' end, to which the tRNAs corresponding amino acid is attached (by aminoacyl-tRNA synthetases). tRNAs cope with the degeneracy of the genetic code in two manners: having more than one tRNA (with a specific anti-codon) for a particular amino acid; and 'wobble' base-pairing, i.e. permitting non-standard base-pairing at the 3rd anti-codon position. Lineage: Bacteria; Bacillati; Actinomycetota; Actinomycetes; Micrococcales; Cellulomonadaceae. The record is from Rfam.
GGGCGAUUGGCUCAGUUGGUAGAGCGCCUCGUUCACACCGAGGAGGUCAUCGGUUCGAGUCCGGUAUCGCCCA